This is a non-coding RNA of Callorhinus ursinus (northern fur seal), 904 nucleotides long. NCBI's taxonomy places the organism in Eukaryota, Metazoa, Chordata, Mammalia, Carnivora, Otariidae. The record is from the annotation of a RefSeq genome assembly.
GUGUCUGUGUGUGUUCGUGUGUGUGUCUGUCUGUCCUGGGGGAAAAGAGUGUUGGUUCAAAAUAGAAAAAGAAACACUCAGGGCACUGAAUCACAUUUUGCCCGGGAAAACAAACGAUAGAGUUGAAGGAUGGAGAAGUGGCCACGAGCUUCACUAGCCAUCUUUUGGCUUCAACUGAGCUGGGUGAGCAGUGAAGACAAGGUGAUCCAGAGCCCCCCAUCUCUGGUUGCCCAUGAGGGAGACAACUCAACUCUCAGCUGCAGCUACAAAGUGACCAGCUUUCAGAGCCUCUUUUGGUUUAAGCAAGAAGAGAAAACCCCUACCUUUUUGCUUAGACUAAUUUCAAGUGGGACUGAGAAGUCAGGAAGGUUAAAAGGCACAUUAGAUAAGAAAGAACUUCUCAGCACCCUGCACAUCACAACCACCCAGCUCGGAGACUCAGCUACCUACUUGUGUGCAGUAGAGGCACAGUGUCUUCUUGUCAGCUGCAGCCCGUACCCAAAUGCUCCAGCUGAGGCUCCUGCAACUGUUAGGUGGGGAACUUGCUAAGUCAGGCACGACCUCGAAAAGAAGCUUUAAGGAAAAGCAACUAUUAGUCAAGAUCCUUGUGCCCGUGUUGACAAUUACUGGUGUGGUUCACGGAGUCAUAUCACUGCAUUCACCACCUUCUCUGUGCUUUUCUAUGGGAAUCAACAUAGUUAAUAUUUUUAGAGGUCACUCAGAUGAUACCAACUCCACAACCACCCCAUUACGCCCUGUGGGAGAAAGAAAACCUUUUCAGAAAGAAAGCACCAACAACUGGUAUGUGCACCACCCAUCAUGGACUCUGCCUGACAGCGUCAUGGAUGGAAAAUCCAGUUUAUUUUUGGUCUGAUCUUCCCAUCUAGAACAGACACAAUUAUAG